GUCAUGGACGAGUUAGGCAUGAAGCACCAAAAAUGACAUCAAUUUUAAUAUCAACGUCGAUGGGAAUCCAGGAAAUGAAAAUAUCUCAUCAGAGAGGGGUCGAUGAGGACGCGCAGCACAAGUUUUCGGAUAUCUUGUUUUGCUUCUACACACCUUUUGGUCAGUGUGAAAUGUUGGAUUCCUGGGAAUGAUUCCUGCUGAAGUUGCUUGUAGGUAAGGAAAGGUAAAUGAAAUUAGAGAAGAGUAACCACUAUUGCUAAUUUUAAAUGCCUAGAAAAUGAUUGGUGUCUUCAUAGUCUUCCCAACUCAAAAU
Long non-coding RNA from Pongo pygmaeus (Bornean orangutan), 313 nucleotides. RefSeq lists it as uncharacterized. The record is from RefSeq and is a predicted model, not a curated record. NCBI's taxonomy places the organism in Eukaryota, Metazoa, Chordata, Mammalia, Primates, Hominidae. The transcript is spliced from 3 exons.